Molecule: ribosomal RNA, 241 nt
Filed under: Curvularia spicifera
Lineage: Eukaryota; Fungi; Ascomycota; Dothideomycetes; Pleosporales; Pleosporaceae
Description: partial contains small subunit ribosomal RNA, internal transcribed spacer 1, 5.8S ribosomal RNA
Rfam family: 5.8S ribosomal RNA (bases 193-241)
Source: RNAcentral
UCCGUAGGUGAACCUGCGGAGGGAUCAUUACACAAUAAAAUACGAAGGCCGUUCGCGGCUGGACUAUUUAUUACCCUUGUCUUUUGCGCACUUGUUGUUUCCUGGGCGGGUUCGCUCGCCACCAGGACCACAAUAUAAACCUUUUUUAUGCAGUUGCAAUCAGCGUCAGUAUAACAAAUGUAAAUCAUUUACAACUUUCAACAACGGAUCUCUUGGUUCUGGCAUCGAUGAAGAACGCAGC